This 586-nucleotide ribosomal RNA is filed under the name uncultured Glomus. RNAcentral describes it as "eukaryotic LSU rRNA". It matches the Rfam family "Eukaryotic large subunit ribosomal RNA", at positions 204 to 637 of the family's 3401-position model. Lineage: Eukaryota; Fungi; Glomeromycota; Glomeromycetes; Glomerales; Glomeraceae. The record is from RNAcentral.
CAUGGAGGGUGAGAAUCCCGUUCAUGGUUAAUAUCAAGAUGCUUUACGAUACGUUUUCAAAGAGUCGAGUUGUUUGGGAUUGCAGCUCAAAAUGGGAGGUAAAUUUCUCCUAAAGCUAAAUAUUGGCCGGAGACCGAUAGCGCACAAGUAGAGUGAUCGAAAGAUGAAAAGCACUUUGAAAAGAGAGUUAAACAGCAUGUGAAAUUGUUGAAAGGGAAACGAUUGAAGCCAGUCGUACCGACGGGAAUUCAACUUCUCGAGUGCUAAUCGUGGGUGACGUUGAGCCUCACGGCCUUCGUUGCUUGUGUUGUUGGUGCUUUUGGGGUGUACUUUUCCGUAUGGUAGGUCAGCAUCGAUUUCGAUCGUCAUAAAAUGAUCGGGGGAAUGUAGCUUCGGUCUCGUAUCGGAGUGUUAUAGACCUUGGUAGAUGUGACGAUUGGGAUCGAGGAUUGCAACGAAUACCCUCUGGGCUAUCCGUCUGACCUCUGAAAGUCGCUCGGGUGUCGAAAGCGUGCUUAUGGCUAUUCGAGUUGGCGGUCAACAGGUUAGAACGUGAUUACAUUCGUUAAGGAUGUUGACGUAAUGG